Molecule: long non-coding RNA, 315 nt
Organism: Saimiri boliviensis boliviensis (Bolivian squirrel monkey)
Lineage: Eukaryota; Metazoa; Chordata; Mammalia; Primates; Cebidae
Source: RefSeq, a predicted model, not a curated record
CUGGCGGUUUUCUAAGGUGCUUUCAUCCUGUGUCCUUGAACUGCUUCCAUCACUCUUAGUCUCAGCAGGAGGAGAUGCCCAGCCAGCUCUGUGUGUGGAAUGGAUUCUCAGUGGGCCAGCUCCUGCAUGUUGGUGUGUUGGUGCAUGUUAGACUGCCAUUCAGCAAAAGGCAAGACUCUGCCUCCACUCUGAGUAUUCUGGAAAAUGCAAGAAGAUGACCACCUGCAAUUCCAGUAGCAACUCCCCACCAGACAUGGGAUUUGCCAGUGGUUAGAUCCUGGGCACCCAGCCUCCAGAGACGUGGAAAAUAAAUGU